AUGGCUGCGGCGUUGGCUGAUGAGGAAACACAUGCAGCACCACAAUUUGAAGUUGUUGCCAGUCCCAGUAGGCACAUGAUCACUAUGCCACAUAGUCUUCAAGGCAGUCCCAAUCCUGUGACAAGAAGGAUGUUGGCUAUGGCGUUGGCGGAUGAGGCGUCCCAGCAACCUACCACAACCGUUGGGAACACCAUGAUUGCAUAUGACAUGUCCUCGAGCUCAAGGGCUAGAAAGUUGACCCCGAAGAGAAGGAAGAGCUAG
This 261-nucleotide ribosomal RNA is filed under the name Triticum aestivum (bread wheat). Its description in RNAcentral is "partial small subunit ribosomal RNA". Lineage: Eukaryota; Viridiplantae; Streptophyta; Magnoliopsida; Poales; Poaceae. The record is from RNAcentral.